GAUGAACGCUGGCGGCAUGCCUAAUACAUGCAAGUCGAACGAGAGGAAGGAAAGCUUGCUUUUCUGAAUCUAGUGGCGAACGGGUGAGUAACACGUAGGUAACCUGCCCAUGUGCCCGGGAUAACUUCUGGAAACGGAUGCUAAAACCGGAUAGGUAGCAGACAAGCAUUUGACUGCUAUUAAAGUGGCUUUGGCCAUGAACAUGGAUGGACCUGCGGUGCAUUAGCUGGUUGGUGAGGUAACGGCCCACCAAGGCGACGAUGCAUAGCCGGCCUGAGAGGGCGGACGGCCACAUUGGGACUGAGACACGGCCCAAACUCCUACGGGAGGCAGCAGUAGGGAAUUUUCGUCAAUGGGGGGAACCCUGAACGAGCAAUGCCGCGUGAGUGAGGAAGGUCUUCGGAUCGUAAAGCUCUGUUGUAAGAGAAAAACGGCACUCAUAGGG
Molecule: ribosomal RNA, 445 nt
Filed under: uncultured bacterium
Lineage: Bacteria
Description: bacterial SSU rRNA
Rfam family: Bacterial small subunit ribosomal RNA
Source: RNAcentral